This 223-nucleotide long non-coding RNA is filed under the name Nicotiana benthamiana. Its description in RNAcentral is "long non-coding RNA (NBEN_LNC000697)". The record is from RNAcentral. Lineage: Eukaryota; Viridiplantae; Streptophyta; Magnoliopsida; Solanales; Solanaceae.
GUCCGUCGAUGGUGACGUUUGUGAUGCCGAUUGAUUCUUGGAUAGCAUCGGCUUUGGAACGCUAUUCCGGAGUGAGGCUUCGUAGAAUUUUCUGGACAAGCUCCUUAUCCGUGAAUGGCUUUUUGAGGGCGUGUAGGUCAUUAACGAUUUUUGAGAAUCAUUCGAACAUGUCAUCUAUCUUCUCGUUUUCCAUCAUGCGAAACAGUUCAUAUUCGUGGGUUAG